This 419-nucleotide ribosomal RNA is filed under the name bacterium. RNAcentral describes it as "partial 16S ribosomal RNA". It matches the Rfam family "Bacterial small subunit ribosomal RNA", at positions 355 to 776 of the family's 1533-position model. The record is from RNAcentral.
UGGGGGAUAUUGCACAAUGGGCGAAAGCCUGAUGCAGCGACGCCGCGUGGGGGAUGAAGGCCUUCGGGUUGUAAACUUCUUUUGCUCUGAACAAGGCGCACCAUGGGGUGUGUUGAGUGUAGGGGUUGAUUAGCGCCGGCUAACUACGUGCCAGCAGCCGCGGUAAUACGUAGGGCGCGAGCGUUGUCCGGAAUUAUUGGGCGUAAAGGGCUUGUAGGUGGCUGGUUGCGUCUGUCGUGAAAGCUCAUGGCUUAACUGUGGGUUUGCGGUGGGUACGGGCUGGCUUGAGUGCAGUAGGGGAGGCUGGAAUUCCUGGUGUAGCGGUGGAAUGCGCAGAUAUCAGGAGGAAUCACGGUGGCGAAGGCGGGUCUCUGGGCUGUUACUGACACUGAGGAGCGAAAGCAUGGGGAGCGAACAGG